CCACUUUGCUUCUCAAGGACAGAAUGCAUCCUGUCUCGUUCUUGCUGCCCGGCAUGCCAGUGCUUCCUCCACGAAUUUGAAAGAUGUACUGGCUGAUAUGAUCCCUAAGGAGCAGGCCAGAAUUAAGACCUUCAGGCAGCAACAUGGCAAGACAGUGGUGGGCCAAAUCACUGUGGACAUGAUGUAUGGUGGUAUGAGAGGCAUGAAGGGAUUGAUAUACGAAACAUCCGUUCUGGAUCCUGAUGAGGUAAGACAUCUUGGCAAUCACUGUAA
Long non-coding RNA from Echinops telfairi (small Madagascar hedgehog), 273 nucleotides. RefSeq lists it as uncharacterized. The transcript has 4 exons. The record is from RefSeq and is a predicted model, not a curated record. NCBI's taxonomy places the organism in Eukaryota, Metazoa, Chordata, Mammalia, Afrosoricida, Tenrecidae.